RNAcentral lists this long non-coding RNA (1770 nucleotides) under Homo sapiens (human). Its description in RNAcentral is "HSALNT0056121". Lineage: Eukaryota; Metazoa; Chordata; Mammalia; Primates; Hominidae. The record is from RNAcentral.
CAAAAAUCCCACUGGACUUUAUUUACAUGCAGGCUUUAACCAACUUUGCUCUUUGUUUUAGUACAGGAAAAUUCAUGAAUUAAAACUUGAAAACACAAUAAAACAAUCACAAAACAAAUUAUCUUCAUUUCCGGUGUCAUCAGUGAAGCAUCAGAAUGAAAGUUCAAAUAAAGUUUUUGCUUCCCGUUGUUAAAAACAUGGUAACACACAACCCACCUCUGGGAGCACUGCGCCAUGAUUCCUUGGAGCAGAGAACACAGUAGGAGCACAUACACCUCUAAUCCCUACUUGACAACUGAGGGAAAUGGCCCGGUCAGCUGACUUGCCCAAGGACACCCAGGCAGUCAGAGGUAGGAGUCUCACCUAGUUCUGUGGUUUCCAGGAAUCAUAUCCAUGUGGUGUUCUACUCUGUUAUUUGAGAGCCCCCGGUUGACAGAACCAGUAGGACAGCUUGGGCAAGUAGGUCCCGGUCUGGCCUGUAGGGUAAGACACUGGCAGGCCUUCAGGUCUGGGGUUCAGGGCUGCAUUUAAAGUUACAGUGCUCAUCACUGGCCUCACUAAGAAUCCCCUGGUCUGACCCUGUUUUGAACAGGAAGUUGAACUCUUUGAAGAGUUGGGUGUUGGAUAUUUAGUUUUCUUCCUUCCUGACUCCUCCGAGCUUCUCAGCUGGCCUUCUUGGAUUCAUGCAGUUCCACAAUUGAAGUGUUGAUUAAAAACUGCCUUGAAGGGUUUCCCAGUUAUUUGGGGUGGGUUUCGUCCAGGGAAGGAAUGGCAAAUGGGUUGCACUUCAGGAAGACGUGCUAACAAUGAGCUCUAAUGAGGAUUCUGAGUCUGGAUUCAGCUGGAAAGAAGCGCUGUGACUGAUUAGUGAUGUCUGGCACAAGCUGGAGGUGGGUAGGGGGACGGUUGGGGUCAAUGUCACUUACUCUAGGUCUAGGUCAAGAGCAUGUGUAGGAAUGGGCCAAUUUCAGCCUGUGCCCUCCCCUCCACAAAUUCUUCCCUGUUAUAACCAGCACUGCACUGAUGCACAAUUGGGACUGUAUAAAUGCUUAGGGACUCGAUGCCUUACAGUAAGCCCCCACCCAGCCUUGUAGUUAAUGCCUGGAGAGAGGCACUAUCAGGCAGAACAUCACACCUGCAUGUCUACCUUCACUCCGCAGGCUUCCAGACACAUCCUAGGAUCCUGUCUGAGAAAACCAGAGCCCUCCUGCAGUAUCUAGUUGUCUAUGUCCAUUGUCCUCUCCUGACAGAAGCCCUAAAGACAGGCCGUGGGCUUCCUUCAGUGGUUAGCAAACAGAACCUUCUCGAGUUUUGAUCCUAACACAAAGAUAGCUCUAACCUUCCUUGCUAUGGUUUGAAGGGUUAGGAGUGGCCUUCCAGAACCGCUGGGAGGUCAGGGGCGUGCUAGACCAAGGGCCUCCUGGACGUCCCUUAUGUUCUCUUCACUGCCCAAGGUGGAGUCUGGCUGGUUUCCAUUUCCACGCCGUAGGGCUAUGAAAUCAGAGAGCACAAGCCUGGGCCCUUGCUGGCUGAAGUCGUCAUUCCACCCUUGAUCAAGAAUAAUUGAGCAAGAGCUGCUUCCAUGAUCCUGUCACACUCUAGCCAUGGGAUUUCUCAAUGGGGAUCUGGACACUUGGUGUUAACACUAGAGUUUGGCUGAGGAUUAGAGAAAACCUUUUUGCCUCCCUUUCCGUCCACACAACUGGAAAGAAACGACUCUUCCUUAUCCUUUCCAAGACUUCUGAGGGGCCAAACUUGGGUCACGUUCAG